CAAUAGCGUAUAUUAAAGUUGUUGCGGUUAAAAGCUCGUAGUUGGAUUUCUGCCGAGGACGACCGGUCCGCCCUCUGGGUGCGUAUCUGGCUCGGCCUGGGCAUCUUCUUGGAGAACGUAUCUGCACUUGACUGUGUGGUGCGGUAUCCAGGACUUUUACUUUGAGGAAAUUAGAGUGUUUCUAAGCAGGCAUACGCCUUGAAUACAUUAGCAUGGAAUAAUAAGAUAGGACCUCGGUUCUAUUUUGUUGGUUUCUUAGAGCUGAGGUAAUGAUUAAUAGGGAGUAGUUGGGGCGAUUCUAUUUAACUGUCAGAGGUGAAAUUACUUGGAUUUGUUUAAAGACGGACUACUGCGAAAGCAUUUGUCCAAGGAUGUUUUCUAUUGAUCAAGAACGAAAGUUAAGGGGAGUCGAAGAUGAUCAGAUACCAU
RNAcentral lists this ribosomal RNA (429 nucleotides) under uncultured eukaryote. RNAcentral describes it as "SSU rRNA". It matches the Rfam family "Eukaryotic small subunit ribosomal RNA", at positions 592 to 1018 of the family's 1831-position model. The record is from RNAcentral.